GAAACUCGCCUACAUGAAGCUGGAGUUACUAGUAAUCGCAGAUCAGAAUGCUGCGGUGAAUGCGUUCCCGGGUCUUGUACACACCGCCCGUCACACCACGGGAGUUGGAGACGCCCGAAGCCGAUUAUCUAACCUUUUGGAAGAAGUCGUCGAAGGUGGAAUCAAUAACUGGGGUGAAGUCGUAACAAGGUAGCCGUAUCGGAAGGUGCGGCUGGAUCACCUCCUUUCUAAGGAGA
RNAcentral lists this ribosomal RNA (236 nucleotides) under Clostridioides difficile. RNAcentral's name for it is "partial 16S ribosomal RNA". It matches the Rfam family "Bacterial small subunit ribosomal RNA", at positions 1307 to 1533 of the family's 1533-position model. The record is from RNAcentral. Lineage: Bacteria; Bacillati; Bacillota; Clostridia; Peptostreptococcales; Peptostreptococcaceae.